UACGUAGGGUGCGAGCGUUGUCCGGAAUUAUUGGGCGUAAAGAGCUCGUAGGCGGUCUGUCGCGUCGAAUGUGAAAACCCGGGGCUCAACUCCGGGCUUGCAUUCGAUACGGGCAGGCUGGAGUUCGGUAGGGGAGUCUGGAAUUCCUGGUGUAGCGGUGAAAUGCGCAGAUAUCAGGAGGAACACCGGUGGCGAAGGCGGGACUCUGGGCCGAUACUGACGCUGAGGAGCGAAAGCGUGGGGAGCGAACAGG
This 253-nucleotide ribosomal RNA is filed under the name uncultured bacterium. RNAcentral describes it as "partial 16S ribosomal RNA". It matches the Rfam family "Bacterial small subunit ribosomal RNA", at positions 524 to 776 of the family's 1533-position model. The record is from RNAcentral.